RNA transcript from Tyto alba (common barn owl), 6132 nucleotides. It is a transcript of the gene named THAP domain containing 12, with no coding region annotated. Lineage: Eukaryota; Metazoa; Chordata; Aves; Strigiformes; Tytonidae. The transcript has 7 exons. The record is from RefSeq and is a predicted model, not a curated record.
CAAAACAUAAGAGACAAAAGAUUAUGACGUCAUUCUACAGCCUCGGUUUUUAAGGAAAACACACCCGAUAUGCACUACAUACAUUCACUGUUCCUCCCCCCACACCCUCAGAGACCCAGCGGGGCAAACCCGCCCUGCCCCGCUGCAUCUGCGCAUGCGCGGCGCCGCCGGCGACCCGCUCCCCCUACGCGCAGGCGCGCCGAAACGGGGGAGGGGGGUCCCACCACCCACACGCAUGCGCCCCGCCCAUUCGCGCCCCGCCGUGCGCGGUGCACUGUGGGAAGGAGGCGGCUCCUUCUCCCGGCGUCCGGCGGCGGUGAAUCCUCCCGGCCGCUCACAGCAGUGUAGAGCCGCUUCCCCCCCCUCCUCCCCUUCCUUCCUCCCUCCCUCCCUCCCCUCCCGUCCUCCUCCUCCACCCCACAUACACCACCCCCCCCCCCUUCCUUUCUCCGGCCCGCGGAUUUAAAGGGGCAGCGGCGCCAAAGCGGGGGGGGGGAAGACCAUGCCGAACUUCUGCGCGGCUCCCAACUGCACCCGCAAGAGCACUCAGUCCGACCUGGCUUUCUUCCGCUUCCCCCGGGACCCGGUCAGAUGUCAGAGAUGGGUAGAGAACUGUCGAAGGGCAGAUUUAGAAGAUAAAACUCCAGAUCAACUCAACAAGCAUUACAGAUUGUGCGCUAAACAUUUUGAGACUUCUAUGAUAUGUAGAAGUAGCCCUUACAGAACAGUUUUACGGGACAAUGCUGUGCCAACUAUAUUUGAUCUUACAAGUCACUUGAACAAUCCCCACAGCAGACAUAGGAAAAGGAUAAAAGAGCUGAGUGAAGAUGAAAUAAAAACACUGAAGCAACAAAAGAUUGAUGAAGCUUUUGAACGGGAACAGGCAACUCAAGAACUGAAUGAAAGCAAUGAACAAAAUACUGUCUCAGAGGAAGGAGGGGAAGAACGAGAGGAAGAAGCAGUCCCCUUAACACUGGAAGAAAGAGAAAACAAAGAUUACCUUAAAUCUUUGUUUGAAAUUUUGAUCCUAAUGGGUAAACAAAAUAUUCCUUUGGAUGGCCAUAAUGUUGAUGAGCUUCCAGAAGGUAUUUUUACUUCAGACAACUUUCAGGCUCUACUGGAAUACAGAAUAAAUGCUGGAGAUGAAGUUCUGAGGAAACGAUUUGAGAUGACUGCAGUCAAUCUUGAGUAUUGCUCAAAAACUCAGCAGAAACAAAUGCUUGAGAUCUGUGAAAGCUGUGUUAGAGAGGAGACGCUGAGGGAAGUAAGAGACUCGCACUUCUUUUCUAUUGUCACUGAUGAAGUAGUAGACAUAGCAGGAGAGGAACAUUUGCCAGUGUUGGUGAGAUUUGUUGACGAUUCUCAUAACCUGAGAGAAGAAUUCAUAGGGUUUUUACCGUACGAGGCUGAUCCUGAAAUUUUGGCUGUGAAGUUCCACACAACUAUUACUGAAAAGUGGGGUCUAAACAUGGAGUACUGUCGAGGUCAAGCCUACAUUGUCUCUAGUGGGUUUGCUUCUAAAAUGAAAGUUGUGGCUACAAGACUCUUGGAAAAGUAUCCACAAGCUGUGUAUACGCUGUGUUCCUCUUGUGCCUUAAACGUUUGGCUGGCAAAAUCUGUUCCUGUUGUUGGUGUUUCCAUUGCAUUAGGAACAAUUGAAGAAGUUUGUUGUCUUUUUAAUCAGUCUCCGCAAUUACUAGUAGAACUGGACAAUACGAUUUCUGUUCUUUUUCAGAACAAUAAGGAGAAGGGUAGGGAGCUGAAGGAGAUAUGCCGUUCUCAGUGGACAGGCAGGCAUGAUUCUUUUGAGGUCUUAGUGGACCUCAUGCAAGCAUUGGUACUGUGCUUGGAUGCAGUAAGCAAUGACUCAUCCAUUAGGUGGAACAACUUUAUUGCCAGUCGAGCAUUUGUACUUUCAAGUGCAUUAACAGAUUUUGACUUCAUUGUCACCAUUGUAAUUCUGAAAAACAUUCUGUCAUUCACAAGAGCAUUUGGAAAAAAUCUCCAAGGACAAACAUCAGAUGUGUUCUUUGCAGCUAGCAGCUUAACAGCAGUGUUGCAUUCUCUGAACGAGGUGAUGGAGAAUAUUGAAGUUUACCAUGAAUUUUGGUUUGAGGAAGCAACAAAUUUGGCUACAAAACUGGAUGUACAAAUUAAACUCCCAGGAAAGUUUCGCAGGGCACAGCAGGGGAACUUGAACGUUGAGGUAACAUCAGAAAAUUACUACAAAGAAAUCCUUAGUGUCCCCACAGUGGAGCAUAUUAUUCAAGAAUUAAAAGAUAUAUUCUCAGAACAACAUUUAAAAGCUCUUAAGUGUUUAUCGUUGGUGCCCUCAGUCAUGGGGCAACUCAAAUUCAAUACGUCUGAGGAGCAUCACGCUGACAUGUAUAAAAAUGACUUGCCUAACCCAGACACGCUUUCUGCUGAGCUUCAUUGUUGGAGAAUCAAGUGGAAGCACAGAGGAAAAGAUAUUGAACUUCCAGCUACUAUUUAUGAAGCACUUCACUUGCCUGACAUAAAGUUUUUCCCUAAUGUUUAUGCAUUGCUUAAAGUAUUAUGUAUACUUCCAGUGAUGAAGGUGGAGAAAGAAAAAUAUGAAAUGGGACGAAAACGCUUAAAGGCAUAUCUGAAAAACACCUUGACAGAGCAAAGGUCAAGCAACCUAGCUUUGCUGAACAUAAACUUUGAUAUAAAACAUGACUUAGAUUUAAUGGUGGACACUUACAUUAAACUCUAUCCAGAUAAAGUGGAAUUUCAAGAAGACUUUAUUCCCUCAAACAACUCUGAAGCAACAGAAGAUGCUUAAUUUUUUUAAGCUGUAGCCAAUCUGUUGAAACAGCCUUUUCUUAAUCAGGUUUCAAUGCUGAGGAAAAAAACUGUGAAAUCUAAAAAGUCACUGCAAUUUUAUUUCCAUUUUAGGUCUCAGACUGAAGAAGCUGUGGUCAGUGACCCAAAUCACAUUUUGUUAGUCUGCAUUAAAUGUGUUAUGCCUGAAACCAAGCCUGAAAAGAAGCCCAUGCUCUUGGCAGAGGUGCUUUCUAUAUCUGAUUGACUUAACUAGGUGCUUGUUUACCUUAUUGCAUCUUGGAAAAAGUACAUUGUGAUUGUAGAUCUGAUGGGGCUGUUACGUAUUCGUGAAUUAGGAUAAGAAAAAACCCUCAAAAGGUUAAAAAGUUUAUAAUCCAUUUUGGUUCUGUUACAUAGGGGUUUUAUUCUUUCUGAAAGCUUAAGAAAAAAAAAAAAGUAUUUGAUGUAUAUUUAAUCAGCAUUUUGGAGAGUAGACUCUGCUACUGCACGAUCCCGGUGCUGUGGACUGUUCUCGGUGUAAAGUGAAUGUUAGUGGUACAGAGGUACAUUUACGGUUUCGUUGGAAGAGUCAACCUCUUUAAUCUCUCGAUGACUGUUUACAUUCCUUUGUGUGAGACACACAACUUUUUUGUUUUCUUUAGGUUUUUAACAGGCAUGGCAGGAAUACUGAAAUUCUUAAAAGACACUAAAAUCUUAAGAUUUAUUCCACAAACAUUUAAAUCUGCUCGUUCCAUCCUGACUGACACAAACCCAUGCAUCUUACUGUCUAUUUGUAACUCACCCAAGAAAGAUUAAAAUAAGAGUUUGUUGUUUGUUUAGAAGUAAGAUUGAAAAUAUUGCUGUUAUUUUUGGCAAGAAUAAAACAUUUUUGUACAGUUUAUUGCAGUUUAAAAUAAAAUGUGAAUUGCUUUUUACAUAGUAUUGAAUUUCUUAGUAAAGCUGUGCCUCUUUGAGAAUGUAUAUUCUUUUGUAAGGUACCUUUUAGUUUUGGCAAUUUUUUCUCUGCUAUUUUUGCAAUUCUAGUGAGUGGCAUUGUCUUAAGACACAGGAAACUGUGUAUUAGCACCUCUGUAUGUUUUGCUGAAGAUUUUUUUACAGUAUUUUGGGAUAGCACUAAAUAGAGCGCUUUUAAUUGUGGAAGUUCUGUCUAACUGAAACAGUUAAGUAGGUUAAAUUUGGAAUGGUGGAAAAGUUAACUUUUGCAGCUGUCCUGAUGCAUGCCAUUUUAACUUAUUUACAGUUGUCCUUUUAUGUACUUCUUGGUUGCAGUGGGAAAGGUCCCCAGCAACAGAAGAUGGAAUGAUUGUAGAGACUAUGACAAAUACAAUUCUUAAUGUUCUAAUGCAGACAAACAAUAAGAAUAAAUUUGAAAAAAGCCCCAACAUUUACUAAGUAAGCAUAGAUAUUAAAGUGGCUAUGUACAUCUUAAGAAAUGCUUUCAGGAUAUUUUAUUUGCAUUGGAGCCAUAAAAAUACUCUUAAAGUUACCUUUUCUUUCCACUGUUACUUGUAUAUGCUUUCUGGCAUGCUUUCAUAUUAAAGCAAUUGUUACCUCAAUAAGUAAAAAAUGUUUUAGCUAAUAGCUCGUUCUGUUCCUCUGAAUAUAUGACAAUAGCCAAAAUGUAUGUUAAUGCUACUUUAAAAAAAAAAAAAAGGCAUUUUUUAAUUAGAAGUCAUAUGGAAAAUUGUCUUUUUUUUUAAAAAAGAUCUCCAUUACAAUUUUAAGUAAUUUAUUAAAUAAAUAAAAUCUUUCCCAUCCUAGGAAUGACUGUGAGUUCCCCUGCUAGAAACAACAAUGUGAGAUGGUUGUGACCUCUGAGGGUGUGAGCCCCAUCUCAAUAAAGCCGGGUUGGGUGAGCCCAGGCUUCCAGGCAUAAUUGGAGAAGGAAAAUUGACACCCAGUGCCCUAUAAUUGGCCAAAAAGAGCUGAAGACUCCUUUCUGACUGUGUAAAUGAGAUCUUUUUGACCGAUGUACUGAGACAAAUUGAAGAAGGGAAAUGCAGUAAGACACUCCUUUAGCUCCUGGAGCUCGGCUGCGACAUACCGUUGUGACUAGCGUUGCUAAUUAGCUAGCUCCCAGAGCCUUGGUGGCUCGAUGUGCUCGAGUUGUGCUGCCUGUCACGGGGAUGCUGAGGUUGUCUGUAAUCGGUCAGAAGCUCCUUGUUUAGCCUGUCUGAAUUGUCCUGUUGGUAAGGAAUGCCUCAAUUUUUAGGCAUGUCAGUGGGUCACUUAAGUAGCAGGUACUGUGCAUGGUGAUGGCUUGGCGGGAUGCGGAGGAGCAAAGGAAUAGCAGAUGGCAGUGAUGUCAACUCUGCUGAGCAAUGCUUUGAUUAAGAAGAAGCACACCCAGCAUGAAAGGCAGACGGCUUAUUCCUGGGAGACUUUGUCCACACCGUACACAGCUCCUCCUGAACCCUGUACCCUAAGAUCCAAGUGCACAACUGUUAAAUUAGCAAAAUACAUGAACCUAAACACAUGUUAAUUAUUAGAUAGUUUCCACUCCACUCUGAAAAGAUUAAGUAUGCAACUGAGCAUUGACUUUAAGACUUUCUAAGUACACCGUACAAAACUACACCUUCCAAAUCAGUGUCGUGCAGAAGGCAGGGUACCCUGUUCAGUGUCUGCAGAGACGGCAGAAAGCUUGAAGGAAUUACUGCUUGACAGCACCGUCUCCUCUUGCAGUGACAGCAGUUUAUGAACAGUUCCACUUCACGUGUUUCUCUUCACGCCGACACUUGCGCCCUGAGCCUGAGCAUCUCUGCAGAAAAGAAGGUGGGAGCAGGUUGGAGACAGGAGUGUGAGUGUAAGGAAGGAUCAUAGAUGGGUAACAUCCAUUCAAAAUAUUAAUUAUUCACAGCUGACUCAGAAACCUACCUCCUGUGCUUAUCUAAUUACAAAAAAUUAAUAUAGUAAUUUCUUCCUUUACAGCAAAUCAGUAUUUCCUGAAGUAAUUGUGAUACUUUCCCUGAGCUGAGCAGAGCUCCACAAGGAUUUUCAUUUACAAACAAUUUGGUGAUAUCUUAUUACAUGUAAGAGUUGUGUUAGGUCAGAUAAAAAUGUGUCUUGCAUUCCUUGCUUGUCCCAGAGCUGCUGCACAGUAGAUGUUUCAAUGUGCAAGAGGCAUAAAGAGUUAUGAGUAUGCAGUUUUAGAUUUAUUUUUAUUAGGGAUAUUUGAAUAUCUUGUAGCCUUUACAGAGUAACCAUUUCUCCUGGGCUGGGAAAGAAUUUUGGAACAGAUAAAAUAAUUGCUAUUUUUGAUUCACCAAUAAUCCUGAAUUAUUAAAACAAAAAAGAUAUCUUUUAAACAUGCAGUCAUAAUCUGGU